Molecule: small nuclear RNA, 142 nt
Organism: Toxorhynchites rutilus septentrionalis
Lineage: Eukaryota; Metazoa; Arthropoda; Insecta; Diptera; Culicidae
Product: U4 spliceosomal RNA
Exons: 1
Source: RefSeq, a predicted model, not a curated record
AGCUUCGCGCAGUGACGAUAUCGUGACCAAUGAGAUUUUACCGAGGUGUGGUUAUUGCUAGUUGAAAAAAACAUCCUAUUUAAUAGUGUAUCAUGUUUUCUACAAGAAAUUUGGAACAGUUUUUUUUUUGAUAAUGGUUUAU